Molecule: unclassified non-coding RNA, 716 nt
Filed under: Bombus terrestris (buff-tailed bumblebee)
Lineage: Eukaryota; Metazoa; Arthropoda; Insecta; Hymenoptera; Apidae
Description: misc RNA ENSBTSG00005035544.1
Source: RNAcentral
GUAGCAUCUCCUGGCUACUAAUUAGUCAGACUAUACCCCAAUUACAGAAGCUCUAGUAGAAGGCAAAUUAGAGAUGCUGGAUAGAAGCGAGAUGGACAGUUUGCCAAAUAUUUGCCGGCCAAUAAUGAUUAGCUUAAUUCCACUCGGUCUUCCAUGAGCUUGUGCUGUUACGGAGACUUUCAAUACUUACGCUUGUGGGUGUGUCUGUUAAACGAAACGCGACCUCCGCAGCCCGUUAAACGCCCCGAAUGAAAAACCGUACAAAUCGUUCAGUUUCAGCCGCUUGACACGUGUCUGACACAACGACGAGAACAAUCAGCUUAGUUCUGCAGUGCAUUCGGCGCGAAAGAGCAGCGCAUGGCAAGGCAGAUCAUUGAUCUAUCAGAGUGGCUGUCGAAAAUCUUGUAAAACAAUUACUCGGAAGCAACAUUGGCAGAGAAACUCUUCCCAUCUUUAAACAGCGAAGAUAAUCCACAGGGAUUAUUUGGUUUCGACCGAGCAACGAGGAAAAAUCAGUGAUACUUUCCCGUAGAAAACGAAAACGAUAAAGAAGAAUGACUUCGAGCGACAGAGAGGAAACAGGAAAAUUGUAAGAAGAGGACAGAAGAGGGCUAACGGAAAGGAUUCUUUCAAUUAGUUUGUCGACUCUUGAGAUUCCAGUUAAUCGACUCUCUUCUCGGACGUCUGCUACUCUAAUGAUCGUUCACAUCGAGAGA